This 622-nucleotide ribosomal RNA is filed under the name Triticum aestivum (bread wheat). RNAcentral describes it as "partial small subunit ribosomal RNA". The record is from RNAcentral. Lineage: Eukaryota; Viridiplantae; Streptophyta; Magnoliopsida; Poales; Poaceae.
CUCCUCCCUCCGACUGGAGGUCACUGGUGAGACGUGGCGAGACCUGCUGUGGGAGGGGGUGGUCCAAGUAGGAGGAUUAAGCAGAAUUAGUAGGGUUUUAAAAAACAGAAUGGUGUCAAUUCUUUAUGCUAAGUACAAACGAUAACGUAAACCUCGAGGUAGGAAUGUUGAAUACCUAUUAUACUUAUGUAGUUCCACAAAACCAAGAGGGGUAAGACAUACAAGCGUUACCUCACAUAUAUAACAACUAAAUACAGUACCACUAACUUAAACUAACGUCUCUCUUUCACGUUUUCGAUACCCGUUAGGAUAUACUGACCGCGGUAGUCAUUCCUAAAUAAAUUUCGAUCGAAUGAAAACCCAGAUUCGGUUCAAAUAAAGAAAGCGUCUAAAUAAGUGGAAUAACCCUGCCACCCCAAUUAUAUAUAUGUAGUUGAAACUCGUAGUCGUUGCGUACUUCGAACGAAGACUCCGACGUUGUAUGAAACGUUAGGGGGACACUUUGUAUGAAAACAGUGAUACGUGUAUACCAAUAAGCUUGCUUAACUAAAGCUAAUCUGAUAGAAAAAGGAUUAAUGAACAAUAUACUACAAGAAAUGAUAAGUCUCCAACAACUUCCCUC